UACAGAGGGGGCAAGCGUUGUUCGGAAUUACUGGGCGUAAAGGGCGCGUAGGCGGCCCGCUAAGUCGAACGUGAAAUCCCCAGGCUUAACCUGGGAACUGCGUCCGAUACUGGCAGGCUUGAAUCCGGGAGAGGGAUGUGGAAUUCCAGGUGUAGCGGUGAAAUGCGUAGAUAUCUGGAGGAACACCGGCGGCGAAGGCGGCAUCCUGGACCGGCAUUGACGCUGAGGCGCGAAAGCUAGGGGAGCAAACGGG
Molecule: ribosomal RNA, 253 nt
Filed under: uncultured bacterium
Lineage: Bacteria
Description: partial 16S ribosomal RNA
Rfam family: Bacterial small subunit ribosomal RNA
Source: RNAcentral